CUACGUGCCAGCAGCCGCGGUAAUACGUAGGUGGCAAGCGUUAUCCGGAUUUAUUGGGCGUAAAGCGAGCGCAGGCGGUCUUUUAAGUCUAAUGUGAAAGCCUUCGGCUCAACCGAAGAAGUGCAUUGGAAACUGGGAGACUUGAGUGCAGAAGAGGACAGUGGAACUCCAUGUGUAGCGGUGAAAUGCGUAGAUAUAUGGAAGAACACCAGUGGCGAAGGCGGCUGUCUGGUCUGUAACUGACGCUGAGGCUCGAAAGCAUGGGUAGCGAACAGGAUUAGAUACCCUGGUAGUCCAUGCCGUAAACGAUGAUUACUAAGUGUUGGAGGGUUUCCGCCCUUCAGUUGCUGCAGCUAACGCAUUAAGUAAUCCGCCUGGGGAGUACGACCGCAAGGUUGAAACUCAAAAGAAUUGACGGGGGCCCGCACAAGCGGUGGAGCAUGUGGUUUAAUUCGAAGCUACGCGAAGAACCUUACCAGGUCUUGACAUCUUCUGCCAACCUAAGAGAUUAGGCGUUCCCUUCGGGGACAGAAUGACAGGUGGUGCAUGGUUGUCGUCAGCUCGUGUCGUGAGAUGUUGGGUUAAGUCCCGCAACGAGCGCAACCCUUAUUACUAGUUGCCAGCAUUCAGUUGGGCACUCUAGUGAGACUGCCGGUGACAAACCGGAGGAAGGUGGGGACGACGUCAAAUCAUCAUGCCCCUUAUGACCUGGGCUACACACGUGCUACAAUGGAUGGUACAACGAGUYGCGAAACCGCGAGGUUUAGCUAAUCUCUUAAAACCAUUCUCAGUUCGGACUGUAGGCUGCAACUCGCYUACACGAAGUCGGAAUCGCUAGUAAUCGCGGAUCAGCAUGCCGCGGUGAAUACGUUCCCGGGCCUUGUACACACCGCCC
RNAcentral lists this ribosomal RNA (895 nucleotides) under Pediococcus acidilactici. Its description in RNAcentral is "bacterial SSU rRNA". It matches the Rfam family "Bacterial small subunit ribosomal RNA", at positions 501 to 1395 of the family's 1533-position model. The record is from RNAcentral. Lineage: Bacteria; Bacillati; Bacillota; Bacilli; Lactobacillales; Lactobacillaceae.